This 254-nucleotide ribosomal RNA is filed under the name uncultured bacterium. RNAcentral describes it as "partial 16S ribosomal RNA". It matches the Rfam family "Bacterial small subunit ribosomal RNA", at positions 524 to 776 of the family's 1533-position model. The record is from RNAcentral.
UACGUAGGUGGCGAGCGUUGUCCGGAAUCACUGGGCGUAAAGGGCGCGUAGGCGGCCUGGUAAGUAGGGGGUGAAAUCUCAUGGCUCAACUGUGAGGCUGCCUUCUAGACUGCCGGGCUUGAGCAUGGUAGAGGCUGGUGGAAUUCCCGGUGUAGCGGUGGAAUGCGUAGAGAUCGGGAAGAACAUCCGUGGCGAAGGCGGCCAGCUGGGCCAUCUGCUGACGCUGAGGCGCGAAAGCGUGGGGAGCAAACAGG